UACGUAGGGUCCAAGCGUUGUCCGGAUUUCUUGGGCGUAAAGAGCUCGUAGGCGGCUCAGUAAGUCGGAUGUGAAAACUCGGGGCUCAACCCCGAGACGCCAUCCGAUACUGCUGUGGCUUGAGUCUGGUAGGGGAACACGGAAUUCCUGGUGUAGCGGUGAAAUGCGCAGAUAUCAGGAGGAACACCGACGGCGAAGGCAGUGUUCUGGGCCAGUACUGACGCUGAGGAGCGAAAGCGUGGGUAGCAAACAGG
RNAcentral lists this ribosomal RNA (254 nucleotides) under uncultured bacterium. RNAcentral describes it as "partial 16S ribosomal RNA". It matches the Rfam family "Bacterial small subunit ribosomal RNA", at positions 524 to 776 of the family's 1533-position model. The record is from RNAcentral.